CGUGUAGGCGGGAGAAUGUGUCAGAAGUGAAAUCGCGCGGCUUAACCGUGUCAAUGGCUUCUGAAACUGUUCUUCUUGAAUGCAGGAGAGGCAGAUGGAAUUCCAGGUGUAGCGGUGGAAUGCGUAGAUAUCUGGAAGAACACCGGUGGCGAAGGCGGUCUGCUGGCCUGUGAUUGACGCUGAGGCGCGAAAGUGUGGGGAGCAAACAGGAUUAGAUACCCUGGUAGUCCACACCAUAAACGAUGGUUACUAGUUGUCGGAGGAUUCGACCCCUUCGGCAACGACGCUAACGCAUUAAGUAACCCACCUGGGAGUACGCUCGCAAGGGUGAA
This 332-nucleotide ribosomal RNA is filed under the name uncultured bacterium. RNAcentral's name for it is "bacterial SSU rRNA". It matches the Rfam family "Bacterial small subunit ribosomal RNA", at positions 568 to 898 of the family's 1533-position model. The record is from RNAcentral.